UACAGAGGUCUCAAGCGUUGUUCGGAUUCAUUGGGCGUAAAGGGUGCGUAGGCGGCGCGGUAAGUCGGGUGUGAAAUCUCGGGGCUUAACUCCGAAACUGCAUUCGAUACUGCCGUGCUUGAGGACUGGAGAGGAGACUGGAAUUCCUGGUGUAGCGGUGAAAUGCGCAGAUAUCAGGAGGAACACCGGUGGCGAAGGCGGGUCUCUGGGCAACAACUGACGCUGAGGAGCGAAAGCGUGGGGAGCGAACAGG
This 253-nucleotide ribosomal RNA is filed under the name uncultured bacterium. Its description in RNAcentral is "partial 16S ribosomal RNA". It matches the Rfam family "Bacterial small subunit ribosomal RNA", at positions 524 to 776 of the family's 1533-position model. The record is from RNAcentral.